CCCCUCUCAGGGUCACACCUAGUGAGUUUCCAGUACUCUACCACAUUUGGCUACGGGAGGGAGAGUCAAGCAGAGGCAUACCCAUUCCAUUCCUAGCUUGGGCAGUGGAUGGUGAGUGGAAGACAAUUUGCUACAAGU
Tachyglossus aculeatus (Australian echidna) is the source of this 138-nucleotide small nucleolar RNA. NCBI's taxonomy places the organism in Eukaryota, Metazoa, Chordata, Mammalia, Monotremata, Tachyglossidae. The record is from RefSeq and is a predicted model, not a curated record.